UCUGAACAUAGCUGGUGGAAAGUUCCACCACACGUAGAUGUAGAAGACUGUCCAUUUUACUCUUGUGACAAGACGACAGCUUUAUUAAAGGAGAAGCCAACACAGACGCAAGAAGAGCCCGAUGAGAAAGAUGACUGAUUAUUUUCCAUAUGUAUUGAUGAAAUGAAGUAUUCUUUAAAACA
Long non-coding RNA from Haliotis rubra (blacklip abalone), 182 nucleotides. RefSeq lists it as uncharacterized. The transcript is spliced from 2 exons. The record is from RefSeq and is a predicted model, not a curated record. NCBI's taxonomy places the organism in Eukaryota, Metazoa, Mollusca, Gastropoda, Lepetellida, Haliotidae.